RNAcentral lists this long non-coding RNA (286 nucleotides) under Homo sapiens (human). Its description in RNAcentral is "HSALNT0360473". The record is from RNAcentral. Lineage: Eukaryota; Metazoa; Chordata; Mammalia; Primates; Hominidae.
UGUCAAACCCCCAGGACGCUCUGGAAUCCAGAGCCAGCAGAAGUCCUCAGGCCAGGCACUCCAGACGACAACACAGUCUUUAGUGGUGAAACAGAAAGCGGCUCCAGCAGCAAGCAACACACCCAGCGUUCCAGCGAGCUGUGUGAAGCGCUAACAAGAGGCUGGCCUGGCAUCCUGGCCAGAGGGACUGCAGAGGCAGCCCAGGCCAGGACGGUGCCCUGCACCACCUCCAUCAGAACCCCCAGAGCUUGCUCAACAGCAGACCGACACCCAGGCGGCACCCCAG